AACUUUCAACAAUAAACAUUUCUAUUCACACCAACGGCAACAGCGGUCCACAGGUGCGGAAGAGACACAGGUGCAGAAACGAGGGUCGUAUCUAACACGUAUAUAACUACGGAGUUCUUACGACACAUCCCUACGAGACACAACGAUUCUCUGCCAGCCGCCAAGAUGAAGACCCAACGCAGCUUUCUCAUUGCAUUGGCAGUCCUCUUCCUCUCAACGAUUGCUUGGGCCGACAUGGAGAAUUCAACUAUGGAGGAAGAGGGUAAGAGAGGAAAAAGAGAAUAAAUCAGAAAAUAAAAAAGAGAGAGAGAAAAAGGGA
Penaeus vannamei (Pacific white shrimp) is the source of this 319-nucleotide non-coding RNA. NCBI's taxonomy places the organism in Eukaryota, Metazoa, Arthropoda, Malacostraca, Decapoda, Penaeidae. The record is from RefSeq and is a predicted model, not a curated record.